Molecule: transfer RNA, 52 nt
Filed under: Mansonella ozzardi
Lineage: Eukaryota; Metazoa; Nematoda; Chromadorea; Rhabditida; Onchocercidae
Description: tRNA-Ser
Source: RNAcentral
AAUAAGUUUUACCUAGUCUUCUAAACUAGCUUCGGGUCUUUCUCACUUAUUU